GUUCAGCCCUUAGGGAAGAAAGCCUGUGGCCUUUAGCAAGCAAGGAUGGGGGUGUAACCAGGCUCAUCAGACCUCCCAUCCCCUCACAGCCACAGACCCAGCUUUAAGGUUACUCUGGGGCCCCCUUGGCCAAGAGGAGAGUCUGUUCGUUUCCCAGAUGGAAGAUUCAUUCUUACUGCAGAUCUUAGCAACCUCAGCACAUGACUCUUUUUCUUUCCUCAUUAAGUCAAGAACCUUUGGCCUUUUCACUUAAAAGAAGCACUCUAAGGCUUCGCUUUGACAUACCCCAGUUGCCAGCAUCACUACUGUUUGGGACCAUUAGGAAGUAAAUUCAGGGAGACUUGAACACAAGCACUGCUUAUCUCGAAAGCUGAUCUGCUCACCGAGGUGGCCCUUGAGCAUGGACAGCCUGGAUCUGCUGGGUGAAGGGAGAAGUUAUGUCCAGGGUGGGACAGAGAGGAUGGCGAGAGAUUUCCUCACUACUCAGAACAGCGGGAAAUUCAAAACUUAGGGAUUAUUUCUGAAAUUUUCCAUUUAAAAUUGACCAAGGGUAACUGAAACCAGAGAAAGCAAGACUGACGAUAAGGGAGGGGCCUCCUGUACUCCAAGAGCACUGAAUCUGGAAAAACUCAACACAUCGAUGGAGUCAUAUAUUUAAUUUUUUCUUAAAAGCCACCUGUGGGGUAUUGUAGAAACGCUGCGCUGCCUAUCACAGCUUGUGAUGUGACACGUUCAUUCUGCAAGUUUAAACUUCGCCUAGGUGUUUCUUUUCCUGUGUGACCGUCACAUAACUAGUUUUGUUGUGCAUUGUUGUAGAAGUUAACAUGUUUCCCUAUCAAAAGAAUGUCAUCCUCUAUUUUCUCUGUUUCUUUUAAGCUUUUUUCAUAUAGUUGGCCUUUUGUUAAUGGUCAGCAUUUAUGGCUUUUUGCAGACAGCAUCUCUUUGAGCAACAAUUUCUUGAAAUAAAAAAAUAUAUUCUUGGCCAGGCGUGGUGGCUCACGCCUGUAAUCCCAGCACUUUGGGAGACCAAGGUGGAUGGAUCACUUGAGAUCAGGAGUUCAAGACCAGCCUGAUCAACAUGGCGAAACCCCAUCUCUACUAAAAAUACAAAAAUUAGCCGACCGUGCUGGUGUGCACCUGUAAUCCCAGCUACUUGGGAGGUUGAGACAGGAGAAUCACUUGGACCUGGGAGGCAGAGGUUGCAGUGAGCCAAGAUGGUACCACUGCACUCCAUCCUGGGCAACAGAGCAAGACUCUGUCUCAAAUAUAUAUAUAUUUUCGCUAGUUGGCUUUAGACUCUUGACCCCAGCUUAUAGUUGUUUUUGUUAAAGACCUGUAUUAUUAUGGUCUCUCCAUGGGAAUUAUGGUUUUAAAAUUAUUUUAUUCAUUCAGCAAAUCUUUAUGAG
RNAcentral lists this long non-coding RNA (1406 nucleotides) under Pan troglodytes (chimpanzee). RNAcentral's name for it is "long non-coding RNA NONPTRT004341". The record is from RNAcentral. Lineage: Eukaryota; Metazoa; Chordata; Mammalia; Primates; Hominidae.